CUCCAAUGGGUGAAGUCAGGGACUAUCAGUUCAAUGAAUAAAUAUCUUAUUUGGAACUAUUUGGGCCUAAAAUAAAAAAGAGGGGGGGGGGGUUACUUUGAUCAGAGCACUUACACAAAAUGACUGAAAGUAUAGUAUUACGUCAAUUUAUGUUUUGAAAAUAAGGAACAUUUACUAGACUAUUGUACUUUAUUAGACAGACUAUAACUUUAUUUUUUAUGAAAGUGAAAAAAGUGAAUGAUUUCAUAAGUUUGUCCAACCCUUUAAAUAAAUAUGUACUCAAUUCCUGCAAUAAGCAAAUUCAUGUUGUGUCACAAAUGUUCAUUUAUCCCCAUCAGCAUGUAUGUCCUGGACACACCUCUUGUCCAGACCUAAUUUCCGAUUCCUAAAUAGUUACAAAUUGUGUCUGAAUCGUGUUACAACCUCACUCACACACGCGUGUGCUGGUCACGUUUAUAGCGCGCGCGCGUCGGCUUCUCAGAAGAUGUCUCCUCGUAAUUAAAUGUGUUGCCGGAAACCUGCUUAACAAGCUAGCUUAAAAAAAAAGAUAGCAGGUGAACCCAUCAAAGUUUGAGCACCGUCAUCUCUGUCAGGACCGUCACACAGGCGCACGCGGCUGUAAUUCCGCGCGGCUCGUGACACGCGCAGCAGAGACCGCACACGGACCCCCACGCGGACGCUUUCCUUACCUGUUCGGCUGUUCCGGUCAGCAGCAUCCGAGGACGUCCUGCCGCGCGCGCGCUGUCCGGAAGGACUAAGCAGCUCCAGAUGGAGAAACGGCAGAAAAACCAGAAGCAAUAUAUACUGUGAGCCAGAAAUCCCAGCAUGACAGAGGAGGGAACGCCGAGGCUCAUUAACAGCAGCCGCCUGGACUGAUCCCACCACCGAGUCCGGGGAGUAAAAGCCAAGUCACUCCAUUACAGCAAAGAGAGAGACUUCUAAAGGGCACGACCAUCUGGAGCAAGUCUCUGUUUUCUUAGCAGCAGAGCUUGGUGGGAGUUUGAGCCCAGACUCAUCAAGCAGCCUGAUAAUCAGGUGCCACCGAAAUCCAUUCAUGUUGCUCCGGAUCGGGUCAAUUGUUGCCUCCGGCGAAAUAUAGCAACUGGAGGAAAUUGACUUGGAAGGGGAAAAAAAAAAAAAAACUCAACGAUGAUUGUAAUGCAGGGUGGGAGCUCGUAGGGGAAAACUGACAUGGGCGGAAAAGUGUGAACUCAAAGUGGCACGCCUCUUCAAAGCGACCAGAAAGAAGUAGGACAAAGUUUUAAGUAAAAAAUAAAGUGGAAGCGAGCCUUCUCCCUCUCCGCUUUUGGACCUGGGGAAGUGUCAGCGUACUGCCGCAGGGACGGGUGAAAACCCCCAGAAUCCACCGCUGAGAUGAUAUUCAUCCCCCGAAGACAAAUGGCUGCAUAUGAAAAAUUGAUAUAGGGCAAAAAAUAGAAUUAAGCCGAGAAAGGCUGACUGAAGUACAAGACGAGCAGGAAUCCACAAAUUACGUUGGUGCAGUUUACUCAAAUUAAUUAUUAACUGGGCUGCAGCUUUCUAUCAGUAAGUAGACACACAAUUACAAAGACACAAGGUUUUAAGAGUACACCCAGGGAAAAACUAAUGAAGGAGGAGCCACAGAUUGAUGGCAAAGUCCGGGGGCCAUUCGUUCACCUGCAGCAUAAAUUGCUGUAAAUUCGUCUAAAUGAAGACGUCUCAAUAUUACAAAUACAACAAACACUUUUUUGACGAUGUCUGAACUGCCUCUGGCUGUUUCCCCCGCAUUCCCUUCCGCACUCAAACUGCUGCCAAUCUUUCACCGUGAUGUCUUAAGUUAGUUUCCUCCUCAUAAUGUGAGCUCGCCUCUAUUUAAAUAUAAAAGGGGAAAACUUUUGAUUGCAUUUGAGGUGUAACGUCCGUCUCAUUGCCCCAGGCUGUGGAGCAGUGGUCCCUACACGUACCAGCACGCCACAGGUUUGAGUCUGCUUGAGUCAGUUAGAGUUUCAACUAAAUGGAAAAUUACUGCCUGAAUAUAUAAUGGUCCUCAAAACACCUGAGGUAAUGUAAACUUUGAAAAAUGUAAAAAAAAAAAAAAAUGUAUAUUGUAGAUGUUGUUAGCAACACCUAACUAACACAUACAGUGAAUCUUUGAGUAUUUAUGCGAUCAACGUGAAUUAUGUGAUGCUGAAGUGGAAAAAGCGGCUUUUAAUAUCAGGUGAUACAUUACUAAAUUAAAGUGAUGCAUUCAGGUGCAAAGCUGAUUUUCUCUGCUUCAGAAUACACUGGAAUUACACUAAUUUCAGUGAAGCUCGGGUUUUACAGAUUUAACAUUGAAGAUGCUACUGGCGACACCUAAAUUACACUCUUUGAAUAGCUCUUUGAACUACCAUAACUCUUCGACCAUUCAUGUAAAUUGCGUGAUUCCCACAAAUUCUGAUGUGGAGAAAAGCGGAGGGCAGCAUUGUUAUGGCAACCCUGUCUACAGUCUAGGGGGAACACCAAAAGGACCAUAAUAUAUGAGAAACUGAACACCAAAGAUCAUGAGAAACACAGUUUAUUGACAAAAAGAAAAAAAUAAAUAAACCAUGUCCUGUAAAGCAAAAAGAAGUUAUUGUGCUGGUU
This is a long non-coding RNA of Oryzias melastigma (Indian medaka), 2604 nucleotides long. RefSeq lists it as uncharacterized. The transcript has 2 exons. NCBI's taxonomy places the organism in Eukaryota, Metazoa, Chordata, Actinopteri, Beloniformes, Adrianichthyidae. The record is from RefSeq and is a predicted model, not a curated record.